GCGACUAAGCGUACACGGUGGAUGCCCUGGCAGUCAGAGGCGAUGAAGGACGUGCUAAUCUGCGAUAAGCGUCGGUGAGGUGAUAUGAACCGUUAUAACCGGCGAUUUCCGAAUGGGGAAACCCAGUGUGUUUCGACACACUAUCAUUAACUGAAUCCAUAGGUUAAUGAGGCGAACCGGGGGAACUGAAACAUCUAAGUACCCCGAGGAAAAGAAAUCAACCGAGAUUCCCCCAGUAGCGGCGAGCGAACGGGGAGGAGCCCAGAGCCUGAAUCAGUGUGUGUGUUAGUGGAAGCGUCUGGAAAGGCGCGCGAUACAGGGUGACAGCCCCGUACACAAAAAUGCACAUAUUGUGAGCUCGAUGAGUAGGGCGGGACACGUGGUAUCCUGUCUGAAUAUGGGGGGACCAUCCUCCAAGGCUAAAUACUCCUGACUGACCGAUAGUGAACCAGUACCGUGAGGGAAAGGCGAAAAGAACCCCGGCGAGGGGAGUGAAAAAGAACCUGAAACCGUGUACGUACAAGCAGUGGGAGCCUCUUAAUGGGGUGACUGCGUACCUUUUGUAUAAUGGGUCAGCGACUUAUAUUCUGUAGCAAGGUUAACCGAAUAGGGGAGCCGAAGGGAAACCGAGUCUUAACUGGGCGUUAAGUUGCAGGGUAUAGACCCGAAACCCGGUGAUCUAGCCAUGGGCAGGUUGAAGGUUGGGUAACACUAACUGGAGGACCGAACCGACUAAUGUUGAAAAAUUAGCGGAUGACUUGUGGCUGGGGGUGAAAGGCCAAUCAAACCGGGAGAUAGCUGGUUCUCCCCGAAAGCUAUUUAGGUAGCGCCUCGUGAAUUCAUCUCCGGGGGUAGAGCACUGUUUCGGCAAGGGGGUCAUCCCGACUUACCAACCCGAUGCAAACUGCGAAUACCGGAGAAUGUUAUCACGGGAGACACACGGCGGGUGCUAACGUCCGUCGUGAAGAGGGAAACAACCCAGACCGCCAGCUAAGGUCCCAAAGUCAUGGUUAAGUGGGAAACGAUGUGGGAAGGCCCAGACAGCCAGGAUGUUGGCUUAGAAGCAGCCAUCAUUUAAAGAAAGCGUAAUAGCUCACUGGUCGAGUCGGCCUGCGCGGAAGAUGUAACGGGGCUAAACCAUGCACCGAAGCUGCGGCAGCGACACUAUGUGUUGUUGGGUAGGGGAGCGUUCUGUAAGCCUGUGAAGGUGGCCUGUGAGGGUUGCUGGAGGUAUCAGAAGUGCGAAUGCUGACAUAAGUAACGAUAAAGCGGGUGAAAAGCCCGCUCGCCGGAAGACCAAGGGUUCCUGUCCAACGUUAAUCGGGGCAGGGUGAGUCGACCCCUAAGGCGAGGCCGAAAGGCGUAGUCGAUGGGAAACAGGUUAAUAUUCCUGUACUUGGUGUUACUGCGAAGGGGGGACGGAGAAGGCUAUGUUGGCCGGGCGACGGUUGUCCCGGUUUAAGCGUGUAGGCUGAUUUUCCAGGCAAAUCCGGAAAAUCAAGGCUGAGGCGUGAUGACGAGGCACUACGGUGCUGAAGCAACAAAUGCCCUGCUUCCAGGAAAAGCCUCUAAGCAUCAGGUAACAUCAAAUCGUACCCCAAACCGACACAGGUGGUCAGGUAGAGAA
RNAcentral lists this ribosomal RNA (1627 nucleotides) under Escherichia coli O88:H1. Its description in RNAcentral is "partial 23S ribosomal RNA". It matches the Rfam family "Bacterial large subunit ribosomal RNA", at positions 1 to 1678 of the family's 2925-position model. The record is from RNAcentral. Lineage: Bacteria; Pseudomonadati; Pseudomonadota; Gammaproteobacteria; Enterobacterales; Enterobacteriaceae.